Molecule: ribosomal RNA, 2934 nt
Filed under: Yersinia pseudotuberculosis
Lineage: Bacteria; Pseudomonadati; Pseudomonadota; Gammaproteobacteria; Enterobacterales; Yersiniaceae
Description: bacterial LSU rRNA
Rfam family: Bacterial large subunit ribosomal RNA
Source: RNAcentral
GGGUUGUGAGGUUAAGCGACUAAGCGUACACGGUGGAUGCCUAGGCAGUCAGAGGCGAUGAAGGGCGUGCUAAUCUGCGAAAAGCGUCGGUAAGCUGAUAUGAAGCGUUAUAACCGACGAUACCCGAAUGGGGAAACCCAGUGCAAUACGUUGCACUAUCGUUAGAUGAAUACAUAGUCUAACGAGGCGAACCGGGGGAACUGAAACAUCUAAGUACCCCGAGGAAAAGAAAUCAACCGAGAUUCCCCCAGUAGCGGCGAGCGAACGGGGAGGAGCCCAGAGUCUGAAUCAGUUUGUGUGUUAGUGGAAGCGUCUGGAAAGUCGCACGGUACAGGGUGAUAGUCCCGUACACCAAAAUGCACAGGCUGUGAACUCGAUGAGUAGGGCGGGACACGUGACAUCCUGUCUGAAUAUGGGGGGACCAUCCUCCAAGGCUAAAUACUCCUGACUGACCGAUAGUGAACCAGUACCGUGAGGGAAAGGCGAAAAGAACCCCGGCGAGGGGAGUGAAAUAGAACCUGAAACCGUGUACGUACAAGCAGUGGGAGCACCUUCGUGGUGUGACUGCGUACCUUUUGUAUAAUGGGUCAGCGACUUAUAUUUUGUAGCAAGGUUAACCGAAUAGGGGAGCCGUAGGGAAACCGAGUCUUAACUGGGCGUCUAGUUGCAAGGUAUAGACCCGAAACCCGGUGAUCUAGCCAUGGGCAGGUUGAAGGUUGGGUAACACUAACUGGAGGACCGAACCGACUAAUGUUGAAAAAUUAGCGGAUGACUUGUGGCUGGGGGUGAAAGGCCAAUCAAACCGGGAGAUAGCUGGUUCUCCCCGAAAGCUAUUUAGGUAGCGCCUCGUGAACUCAUCUUCGGGGGUAGAGCACUGUUUCGGCUAGGGGGCCAUCCCGGCUUACCAAACCGAUGCAAACUCCGAAUACCGAAGAAUGUUAUCACGGGAGACACACGGCGGGUGCUAACGUCCGUCGUGAAGAGGGAAACAACCCAGACCGCCAGCUAAGGUCCCAAAGUCAUGGUUAAGUGGGAAACGAUGUGGGAAGGCACAGACAGCCAGGAUGUUGGCUUAGAAGCAGCCAUCAUUUAAAGAAAGCGUAAUAGCUCACUGGUCGAGUCGGCCUGCGCGGAAGAUGUAACGGGGCUAAACCAUGCACCGAAGCUGCGGCAGCGACACUUAGGUGUUGUUGGGUAGGGGAGCGUUCUGUAAGCCGUUGAAGGUGACCUGUGAGGGUUGCUGGAGGUAUCAGAAGUGCGAAUGCUGACAUAAGUAACGAUAAUGCGGGUGAAAAACCCGCACGCCGGAAGACCAAGGGUUCCUGUCCAACGUUAAUCGGGGCAGGGUGAGUCGACCCCUAAGGCGAGGCUGAAAAGCGUAGUCGAUGGGAAACAGGUUAAUAUUCCUGUACUUGGUGUUACUGCGAAGGGGGGACGGAGAAGGCUAGGCUGGCCGGGCGACGGUUGUCCCGGUUUAAGCGUGUAGGGGGAGUGACCAGGUAAAUCCGGUUGCUUAUCAACCCUGAGGCGUGAUGACGAUGCACUACGGUGCAGAAGCAGUUGAUGCCAUGCUUCCAGGAAAAGCCUCUAAGCAUCAGGUAACAUUAAAUCGUACCCCAAACCGACACAGGUGGUCAGGUAGAGAAUACUCAGGCGCUUGAGAGAACUCGGGUGAAGGAACUAGGCAAAAUGGUGCCGUAACUUCGGGAGAAGGCACGCUGGCGUUAGGUGAAAGGACUAGCUCCUGGAGCUGAAGCCAGUCGCAGAUACCAGCUGGCUGCAACUGUUUAAUAAAAACACAGCACUGUGCAAACACGAAAGUGGACGUAUACGGUGUGACGCCUGCCCGGUGCUGGAAGGUUAAUUGAUGGGGUCAGCCGCAAGGCGAAGCUCUUGAUCGAAGCCCCAGUAAACGGCGGCCGUAACUAUAACGGUCCUAAGGUAGCGAAAUUCCUUGUCGGGUAAGUUCCGACCUGCACGAAUGGCGUAAUGAUGGCCAGGCUGUCUCCACCCGAGACUCAGUGAAAUUGAACUCGCUGUGAAGAUGCAGUGUACCCGCGGCAAGACGGAAAGACCCCGUGAACCUUUACUAUAGCUUGACACUGAACAUUGAGCCUUGAUGUGUAGGAUAGGUGGGAGGCCUUGAAGUGUGGACGCCAGUCUGCAUGGAGCCAACCUUGAAAUACCACCCUUUAAUGUUUGAUGUUCUAACUCGGCCCCAUGAUCUGGGGUGAGGACAGUGUCUGGUGGGUAGUUUGACUGGGGCGGUCUCCUCCCAAAGAGUAACGGAGGAGCACGAAGGUUAGCUAAUCACGGUCGGACAUCGUGAGGUUAGUGCAAAGGCAUAAGCUAGCUUGACUGCGAGAGUGACGGCUCGAGCAGGUACGAAAGUAGGUCUUAGUGAUCCGGUGGUUCUGAAUGGAAGGGCCAUCGCUCAACGGAUAAAAGGUACUCCGGGGAUAACAGGCUGAUACCGCCCAAGAGUUCAUAUCGACGGCGGUGUUUGGCACCUCGAUGUCGGCUCAUCACAUCCUGGGGCUGAAGUAGGUCCCAAGGGUAUGGCUGUUCGCCAUUUAAAGUGGUACGCGAGCUGGGUUUAGAACGUCGUGAGACAGUUCGGUCCCUAUCUGCCGUGGGCGUUGGAAGACUGAGAGGGGCUGCUCCUAGUACGAGAGGACCGGAGUGGACGAAUCACUGGUGUUCGGGUUGUCAUGCCAAUGGCAUUGCCCGGUAGCUAAAUUCGGAAGAGAUAACCGCUGAAAGCAUCUAAGCGGGAAACUUGCCUCGAGAUGAGUCUUCCCUGGGGCUUAAAGCCCCCUGAAGGAACGUUAAAGACUAUGACGUUGAUAGGCUGGGUGUGUAAGUGCAGCGAUGUAUUGAGCUAACCAGUACUAAUGAUCCGUGAGGCUUAACCUUACAACACCGAAGGUGUUU